This 557-nucleotide long non-coding RNA is filed under the name Linum usitatissimum (flax). RNAcentral describes it as "long non-coding RNA (LUSI_LNC001840)". The record is from RNAcentral. Lineage: Eukaryota; Viridiplantae; Streptophyta; Magnoliopsida; Malpighiales; Linaceae.
GCUAGGCAAUUACAUGGGAGUUCUUUAUUUUACGAUAUUGAUAGAAAAGGUUUUACUCAAAUCGUCUUCCAGGAGAGGAACUCGGCAGCCACCUUACUUAUAAUAAGCUUAUCCUCCUCUUGAAACAGAUCAUCUGUCGUAUCGGCAUUGGGAGUCCCCGGAGUAGGGGUUUCAGGGAGACCGGAAACAGAGCACAACUACUGAAAGCACACCUCCUGGACCAAACGACCACCAUCUUUGGAUUCCGGCCGAAAAGCGUUCAACUGAAUAUCACCGAUCACGGAGCAUACGGUGCAAUGCCUCUGGACACAUUAUCUCGCGCACCAAACACCUCGUACCAUUAGAGGAAUCGAUUGAUCGGAUCGAAAUAACAUCUCCCAAACACACAUCAUUUUUGGCACGGUCGCACCAUUAACUUUGGUUUGACAGCCAAACCAAAGCCAUAGUCUUUCCACACCAAAACUUGAUUUCUUACACUCUGGCAGUGGACCAAGAAAGUGCUGGGUACAGACAUCAGUGAUAUACUUUCUGAGCGGCAACCGGUGGUUGCCGCUUUU